UAUCCCCCAAACCAAGGGGGGAUCAGAACCACCGACCGGGGUUCGACAACUGGCGCAGCCAGUUGGACAGACGACGAGCUUGCGAGGAGACUGCCCGAAGGGCGAGCGCAGCGAGUCAAUCCCCCCCUCACCGCCA
RNAcentral lists this small RNA (136 nucleotides) under Salmonella enterica subsp. enterica serovar Typhimurium. RNAcentral describes it as "RtT sRNA". It matches the Rfam family "RtT RNA". From Rfam's summary of the family: This family represents a bacterial cis-regulatory element known as RtT RNA. The exact function of RtT is unknown although it is thought that it may be involved in changing the cellular response in relation to amino acid starvation. The record is from RNAcentral. Lineage: Bacteria; Pseudomonadati; Pseudomonadota; Gammaproteobacteria; Enterobacterales; Enterobacteriaceae.